GCGUGCGCAGGCGGUUAUGUAAGACAGAUGUGAAAUCCCCGGGCCUCAACCUGGGAACUGCAUUUGUGACUGCAUGGCUAGAGUACGGUAGAGGGGGAGUGGAAUUCCGCGUGUAGCAGUGAAAUGCGUAGAUAUGCGGAGGAACACCGAUGGCGAAGGCAAUCCCCCUGGACCUGUACUGACGCUCAUGCACGAAAGCGUGGGGAGCAAACAGGAUUAGAUACCCGGGU
RNAcentral lists this ribosomal RNA (230 nucleotides) under uncultured bacterium. RNAcentral describes it as "partial 16S ribosomal RNA". It matches the Rfam family "Bacterial small subunit ribosomal RNA", at positions 565 to 791 of the family's 1533-position model. The record is from RNAcentral.